This 206-nucleotide long non-coding RNA is filed under the name Calidris pugnax (ruff). Its description in RNAcentral is "lncRNA (ENSCPUG00000000548.1)". Lineage: Eukaryota; Metazoa; Chordata; Aves; Charadriiformes; Scolopacidae. The record is from RNAcentral.
UUAAUGUUGGCCCUUUUGGAUUGACACAGCAAAUAAUUACUGUUCUAUUUACAGUCGAAGGUUCAACCUGCAGUGGUAUGGAGGAACUCUUCAGGAGCCACUGUGUCCUUCUGCAUGUAUGCUGCUUCUUGAAGUCUCCUUCUCCUCAAGCAAGGUAAAAGAAAGUUCUCCAAUACAUUCAGAAGAUGUCUGCAGCUAAACAGGGC